ACCAGCAGCCAUAUCACUCUGCAAUUUACAACUGACAGCCCACUGAAGCUAAGGAGGUAUGAGCCUGGUCAGUACCUGGAUGGGAGACCUCCUGGGAAAAACUUAGGUUGCUGCUGGAA
This 119-nucleotide ribosomal RNA is filed under the name Lepisosteus oculatus (spotted gar). Lineage: Eukaryota; Metazoa; Chordata; Actinopteri; Semionotiformes; Lepisosteidae. The record is from RNAcentral.